GUGAAUCAUCAAAUUUUUGAACGCAAAUUGCGCCUUCUUCGGAAGGCAUGUCUGUUUGAGGGCACCCUUUAACAAAUUCUGUACAUUUCGUGUGCACCCGUUGCGGUGCUUUCCAAAAUUAUGUACUUUAAUUUUUGGUUGAGCAUAAUAAACAGCGUGUUGCUGUUUUUCUGUUCGUGUGUAGUAAAUUUUUCUUUUGCUUGGUUUGUGAAAGGCGUUAUCAGGCAUUGU
Molecule: unclassified non-coding RNA, 231 nt
Filed under: Paraglomus occultum
Lineage: Eukaryota; Fungi; Glomeromycota; Glomeromycetes; Paraglomerales; Paraglomeraceae
Description: partial contains 5.8S ribosomal RNA and internal transcribed spacer 2
Rfam family: 5.8S ribosomal RNA (bases 1-65)
Source: RNAcentral